This 71-nucleotide transfer RNA is filed under the name Runaria punctata. Its description in RNAcentral is "tRNA-Gln". The record is from RNAcentral. Lineage: Eukaryota; Metazoa; Arthropoda; Insecta; Hymenoptera; Blasticotomidae.
UACUAGGGGGUGUUUAAUAUGCAUGAAAGAUUUUGAUUCUUUAGGUAAUAAGGAGAGCUUAUUUCUAGUAU